UCAAGCUACAAAGAGCACAAGGGGAAUGCCUUGGCACCGAGAGCCGAAGAAGGACGUGACUAACUGCGAUAAGCUACGGGGAGCUGUAAGUGAGCGUUAUAUCCGUAGAUUUCCGAAUGGAGCAAUCCGGCCAGAGGAAAGUCUGGUCAUCAUAUACUGAAUACAUAGGUAUAUGAGGGGAACCGCCUGAACUGAAACAUCUAAGUAGGGCGAGGAAGAGAAAUCAACUGAGAUUCCGUAAGUAGUGGCGAGCGAACGCGGAAGAGGCCAAACCUAGAGUAGAAAUACUUUAGGGGUUCGGACAGUAUAAUGAAUUGUCGAGAUUUAGCCGAAUGUCAUGGGAAGGGCAAUCAAAGAUGGUGAAAAUCCAGUAGGCGAAAAGUUAAGACAUCAGACUGUAUCCAGAGUACCGCCGGACACGUGAAACCCGGUGGGAAUAUGGGGGGACCAUCCUCCAAGCCUAAAUACUACUCGGUGACCGAUAGAGAAGAAGUACUGUGAAGGAAAGGUGAAAAGCACCCCGGAAGGGGAGUGAAAGAGAACCUGAAACCUUGUGUUUACAAGCACCGAAAGUUCAUCAACGAACGAUCGGGUACCUUUUGUAGAAUGGUCCGGCGAGUGAAUGUAACUGGCAAGGUUAAGCACUUAAGGUGUGAAGCCGUAGCGAGAGCGAGUCUGAAAAGGGCGCAUGAAGUCAGUUGUAUUCGACCCGAAACCGGGUGACCUACCCAUGUCCAGGCUGAAGUGCAGGUAAAACUUCAUGGAGGGCCGAACCGACUCCCGUUGAAAUGGUAGCGGAUGAGGUGUGGGUAGCGGAGAAAUUCCAAUCGAACCCGGAGAUAGCUGGUUCUCUCCGAAAUAGCUUUAGGGCUAGCCUUGGAAUAGAUUACUGGAGGUAAAGCACUGAAUUGGCUAGGGGCCGAGAGGUUACUGAACCUUAUCAAACUAAGAAUGCCAGAUAAUCGUUUUCCAGGAGUCAGACAGUGGGAGAUAAGUUUCAUUGUCAAAAGGGAAACAGCCCAGACCUACAGCUAAGGUCCCAAAGUAUAGUUAAGUGGAAAAGGAUGUGGAAUUGCAUAGACAACCAGGAUGUUGGCUUAGAAGCAGCCACUCAUUAAAAGAGUGCGUAAUAGCUCACUGGUCGAGUGAUUCUGCGCCGAAAAUUUAACGGGGCUAAACUAUACACCGAAGCUUAGGAUACCGCAAGGUAUGGUAGGAGAGCGUUCUGUACGGAGUGAAGUCGUAGCGAAAGCGGCGGUGGACUGUACAGAAGUGAGAAUGCCGGAAUAAGUAGCGAGAAUUAAGUGAGAAUCUUAAUGGCCGAAAGUCUAAGGUUUUUGGAGGAAGGUUCGUCCGCUCCAAGUAAGUCGGGAGCUAAGGUCAGGCCGAAAGGCGUAGCCGAUGCACAAACGGUUGAUAUUCCGUUACCGUCUACAAUUUAAACAAAGGGACACAUACAAAGCGUUUAACCCGGGCGAUGGUUGACCCGGGCGCAAGGGACUGAAAUUAGAGUAGGGAAGUAAAUGUGGCGUAUGGCGAGAAAAGCUUUGUGUAUAGAAGUAGACGCCCGUACCGCAAACCGACACAGGUGGACAGGAAGAGAAUUCUAAGGCCAGCGGGAGAAGGGUAGUUAAGGAACUCGGCAAAUUGACUCCGUAACUUCGGAAUAAGGAGUGCUCGAAAGAGCCGCAGAGAAUAGGCCCAGGCGACUGUUUAGCAAAAACACAGGUCUCUGCCAAAUCGAAAGAUGAAGUAUAGGGGCUGACACCUGCCCGGUGCCGGAAGGUUAAGAGGAGGAGUGCAAGCUCCGAAUUGAAGCCCCGGUAAACGGCGGCCGUAACUAUAACGGUCCUAAGGUAGCGAAAUUCCUUGUCGGGUAAGUUCCG
RNAcentral lists this ribosomal RNA (1886 nucleotides) under human gut metagenome. RNAcentral's name for it is "bacterial LSU rRNA". It matches the Rfam family "Bacterial large subunit ribosomal RNA", at positions 3 to 1985 of the family's 2925-position model. The record is from RNAcentral.